GAGGCUAAGCUAAUCUCUUAAAGCUUCUCUCAGUUCGGAUUGCAGGCUGCAACUCGCCUGCAUGAAGCCGGAAUCGCUAGUAAUCGCGGAUCAGCACGCCGCGGUGAAUACGUUCCCGGGCCUUGUACACACCGCCCGUCACACCACGAGAGUUUGUAACACCCGAAGUCGGUGAGGUAACCUUUUUGGAGCCAGCCGCCUAAGGUGGGAUAGAUGAUUGGGGUGAAGUCGUAACAAGGUAGCCGUAUCGGAAGGUGCGGCUGGAUCACCUCCUUU
This 276-nucleotide ribosomal RNA is filed under the name Enterococcus faecium. Its description in RNAcentral is "partial 16S ribosomal RNA". It matches the Rfam family "Bacterial small subunit ribosomal RNA", at positions 1259 to 1533 of the family's 1533-position model. Lineage: Bacteria; Bacillati; Bacillota; Bacilli; Lactobacillales; Enterococcaceae. The record is from RNAcentral.